CCUACGGGGGGCAGCAGUGAGGAAUAUUGGUCAAUGGGCGUAAGCCUGAACCAGCCAUCCCGCGUGAAGGAAGAAGGCGCUAUGCGUCGUAAACUUCUUUUCCAGAGGAAUAAAAUUUCGUACGUGUACGGAACUGAAGGUACUUUGGGAAUAAGCAUCGGCUAACUCCGUGCCAGCAGCCGCGGUAAUACGGAGGAUGCGGGCUUUAUCCGGAUUUAUGGGGUUUAAGGGGGAUUUAUACGUCUUAAGUGAAAACCUUCAGCUUAACUGGAGAACUGCCAUUGAUACUGUUAGUCUUGAGUACGGUCAAGGUAGGCGGAAUGUGUAAUGUAGCGGUGAAAUGCUUAGAUAUUACACAGAACACCGAUUGCGAAGGCAGCUUACUGGGCCAUUACUGACGCUGAUGCACGAAAGCGUGGGGAGCGAACAGGAUUAGAUACCCGUGUAGUC
Molecule: ribosomal RNA, 450 nt
Filed under: uncultured bacterium
Lineage: Bacteria
Description: partial 16S ribosomal RNA
Rfam family: Bacterial small subunit ribosomal RNA
Source: RNAcentral